ACAAUAUUGCCGCCAUUUUACUUUCCAGUCAAGUUUUCUUUUCAAGUGUACCAGAUUAAAGUCUCCAAUUUGGAGCAGGUUUCUUAUUCAAGUUAUUCACAUUUACGUUUUAUUUAUCUUGCAUGCUUUACUUUAUUUGUUUUCCUGAAUCGCUUUUACAUACUCGCUUAUUUAACUUGCACAUUUUAUUUACUCGCCCCUUUUAAACAUGAUUAAUUCUGCUAUGUUGUUUUGUAUUUCC
RNAcentral lists this long non-coding RNA (241 nucleotides) under Lathyrus oleraceus (garden pea). Its description in RNAcentral is "Pisum sativum (pea) long non-coding RNA (PSAT_LNC030649)". Lineage: Eukaryota; Viridiplantae; Streptophyta; Magnoliopsida; Fabales; Fabaceae. The record is from RNAcentral.